UACGUAGGGUCCGAGCGUUGUCCGGAAUUAUUGGGCCUAAAGCAUCCGUAGCCGGUUCUACAAGUCUUCCGUUAAAUCCAACUGCUUAACAGGUGGGCUGCGGAAGAUACUAUAGAGCUAGGAGGCGGGAGAGGCAAGCGGUACUCGAUGGGUAGGGGUAAAAUCCGUUGAUCCAUUGAAGACCACCAGUGGCGAAGGCGGCUUGCCGGAACGCGCUCGACGGUGAGGGAUGAAAGCUGGGGGAGCAAACCGG
Molecule: ribosomal RNA, 253 nt
Filed under: uncultured bacterium
Lineage: Bacteria
Description: partial 16S ribosomal RNA
Rfam family: Bacterial small subunit ribosomal RNA
Source: RNAcentral